RNAcentral lists this ribosomal RNA (441 nucleotides) under uncultured bacterium. RNAcentral describes it as "partial 16S ribosomal RNA". It matches the Rfam family "Bacterial small subunit ribosomal RNA", at positions 338 to 795 of the family's 1533-position model. The record is from RNAcentral.
CCUACGGGUGGCAGCAGUGGGGGAUAUUGCACAAUGGGGGGAACCCUGAUGCAGCGACGCCGCGUGGGUGAAGGAGUGCUUCGGCAUGUAAAGCUCUAUCGGCAGGGAAGAAGAAAGACGGUACCUGACUAAGAAGCCCCGGCUAACUACGUGCCAGCAGCCGCGGUAAUACGUAGGGGGCGAGCGUUAUCCGGAUUCACUGGGUGUAAGGGGUGCGUAGACGGCCAAGCAAGCGUGGGGUGAAAGCCCGGGGCUCAACCCCGGGACUGCCCUUGGAACUGUAUGGCUGGAGUGCGGGAGGGGCAGGCGGAAUUCCUGGUGUAGCGGUGAAAUGCGUAGAUAUCAGGAGGAACACCGGCGGCGAAGGCGGCCUACUGGACCGCGACUGACGUUGAGGCUCGAAAGCGUGGGGAGCAAACAGGAUUAGAUACCCCAGUAGUC